RNAcentral lists this long non-coding RNA (1368 nucleotides) under Amborella trichopoda. RNAcentral's name for it is "long non-coding RNA (ATRI_LNC003247)". The record is from RNAcentral. Lineage: Eukaryota; Viridiplantae; Streptophyta; Magnoliopsida; Amborellales; Amborellaceae.
UCAAGAUCUUCCUCACCGAUAGUCUCAAGGAACGCUCUCUUGUGCAACACUGGCUCCUCUUCUUCUACUACCCAUUGUUCUGCUGUGUUGGUGACAAAUAUUGUGUUCAAGUCUAUCGGCCCAUAGUCUUCAAGCUUCCUUCUUAUUUGUCUUCUUAUUUGUCAAAGCUAGGCCCGCCAUGCAUGUCUGCGCUAGGCCCGCCAUGCAUGCCCAUGUUAUAACCAUCAGGCAUUUAAACCCGCGUUCCUUUUGGUAUGUUUCCCUUAAACCCAUUCUUGUGACCAUCUCCAAGUUAUUAUUAUAUUGCUCUUUUGGAUCAUUCCCGCUUGAUGGCGUAUAUAAACUAGCUAUCUCCUCAUCCAUCCUUUGCUUUGCAAUUUUUUACUUUUGGUAGCCUUGAGAAAUGCUGCCAUAUGCUUUCUUAUAUUAUUAGGGACACUAUUACACGCAGAAGCAUCUCCCUUAACCCCUGCCAAGUGUUGCUUGAACCUAUGUACCGCACUACUUAUCACUCUUUGACAGUAAUUACAAAUAAUUUUGUCUUUUUUGUUGGGAUCAAGUCUGACCCCAUGUUGCUAUGCAGGGUCUUCCGUAGAUCUUGCCAUGGUUCAACUUUAAUAUGUAAAAGGUUAAAAAUUAACCUGACAGUUCAACAUUAAAAAUACUCACCACGUGUAGUGAUAAUAUGUAGGGGUAGUUCAUGAAGUUAUAUUUGUUGUUAAUGCAAAAUACUUCUAUUGACAAAAAUAUUUUAGUUCCUAUUGGGAAAAAUAUUUUAUUUAUGCAACAUUAUAGAUAAAAGUAGCCUCUAUCAGCCACUACAUAUAGAACAAAAAAUUUACAUUGAUAUAGUAUCAAUAAAAAAUAUAUUUACAAUGGUAUAGUAAUUCACAAUGCCAGUACAUAUGGACUUGUCACAAAUCUUCAUUUCGACAAACAUGAAUUAGUUCGUACUGAGAAAAAAAAAUAUUUAUGCAACAUUAUAGAUAAAAAAAAGUCUGUAUAAGUCACACUUAGAAUCAAGAACAAAAUUACAUUAAUAAAGUCAGCCUUAAUGCCACUACACGUAUAUUUGACACAAAAAACAUUUACAAGGACAUAGUCAUUCACAAUGCCACAAAUAAAAUUUACAAUGAUAUAGUGGGCACAAUCCCAACUCGAUUGAAUUGAUCACAAAUACUCGUACAUUUCAAUUACAAAUAUGCAAGAUAAUAUAAUAAAAAAUGCAAGCUCCAAACAUGGCUACAACUCAAUUAUCAAGAACAUACAUUUUUUGCAUUAAAAAUUUAAUAAUAAAAUUGAAAAAUGCAAGAUAAUAUAAUUAUCAUACAUGCCACGAUUUUUUUACAAUGAUAUUCACUUUAAUUC